RNAcentral lists this ribosomal RNA (428 nucleotides) under uncultured prokaryote. RNAcentral describes it as "bacterial SSU rRNA". It matches the Rfam family "Bacterial small subunit ribosomal RNA", at positions 355 to 774 of the family's 1533-position model. The record is from RNAcentral.
UGAGGAAUUUUGCGCAAUGGGAGCAAUCCUGACGCAGCAACGCCGCGUGGGUGAUGAAGGCCUUCGGGUCGUAAAGCCCUGUCAGGUGGGAAGAAUGUCCCGGAACUGAACAGGUUUCGGGAGUGACGGUACCACCAGAGGAAGCACCGGCUAACUCCGUGCCAGCAGCCGCGGUCAUACGGAGGGUGCAAGCGUUAUGCGGAAUUACUGGGCGUAAAGCGCGUGUAGGCGGUCCUGCAAGUCUGAUGUGAAAGCCCCGGGCUUAACCCGGGAAGUGCAUUGGAAACUGCAGGGCUUGAGUACUGGAGAGGAUGGGGGAAUUCCCGGUGUAGAGGUGAAAUUCGUAGAGAUCGGGAGGAAUAUCAGUGGCGAAGGCGCCCAUCUGGACGGUAACUGACGCUGAGACGCGAAAGCGUGGGGAGCAAACA